AGUGAGGAUAAUAAUAAUACUGAUAUGCUAGAGUGUUUUUGAGAAUAUAAUGAGUUAAUGGAUGAAACCAGGGAAGAUAGUGAACAUAUUAUAGAAUUAACCUUAUACAAUGAUACCUUCUCAUGUUUCUUUUUUCCCUCUGGGAUUUCAAGUAAGGAAGAACCAUUUUGUUACAACAUCAGAGUUUUAAAGUCUUAAGAUCUCCCUUUCUUUCUGUCUCUUAACUAUCUCCCCUUUCAUCAUUCACUUUUCAUUUCAGCAUAGUCUUGUUCCUUGAAUUGACUUAUGUAAUAAUAUUCAACUGUGCCUCAGACUGCUGCUUGAAGAAUGCUCCAAGAACUAGACCAAUCCCGUGUAAAAGGGCAAGGCCGUCAAGGAGGAGUGAGAGCUGAAAGCACAGCCUUCUCUGGGGCACAGCUGCCAUAUGGAACUUUGUGCACUCCAUAAAGAAUGUCAGGCUUGCACUGGGAGCUAAUCAGAAUGCGUGAACAAACUCAUCAUGGAUAAACUUCUCCAAGCCCAAGUCACAAAAUGGUGAUGAUCUGGACUUGACUGUUUUGAUAUUUGACUAUUUAUUCCAAGUACAUAUGUUGGGCCAAUGGGAAGAAAUAGGGAGGAAUAGCUUAGACACACCCUAAAGGUAUAUAUACCAGGAAUUAAAGUUUAGUGAAACUCAAAUAGAGUCCUUUUGGGAGAAGCACUGGCUACCUGAUGUGACUGAAGCCCAAGCCCCUUGGAAAAGAGUUACAAACAAAACUCAGAGAAAAUGCAGCAUAAUCUCCCCUGACAUCUUACCCUGAUUAGAGGCUUAAAUACUAGAGCUGGAACUAGGGACACUGGUAGAUGUUGACUUUUGGAGAAGAUUAUUUUUAUGGCGUGGUAGGUAGCCUUACGUUUUGUCACGAAAAUCCCUGUAGACCUAAACGGACUUUAUUUCUUUAUUUAUUUUUAUUUUAAGAAAUUGUUUGGCCACACCCGAGACGUGUGGAAGUUCCCAGACCAGGGACCAGACCCGCACCACCCCAGCAACCCAACCUGCAGCAGUGACAAUGCAGAUCCUUAAUUCACUGAGCCACAGAGGAACUCUGACCACAGUGGACUUCAAAUUCCUAAAACAGGACUGGGAGAGCUUAAGAAAAUGCAAAAUCAUCAGCAUUGCUAUCGCAUGGUGGUAUGUCACACAGAACAAGAAUUGUGAAAUGCAUUGGUUUCUAUCAAGAGUUUGCUUGGGCUUCUCUAUAUAUUUUGUAGGGAAAAGAACAGAUUAUUUCAAUUAAAUCGCAUCACAAAAUUGAGUAGGUAUUAUAAUAGGAAGGAGAAGUCAGAAGCAUCCUUUGACUACUGAUGUUUCUCCAGCUCAUAAGACAGACAUUUACAUUCAUUGAUUUAGCAAACUUUUUUUUUUUGACUGCCUAUUAUAUACCAGACACUCUGUUGGCAUCUUGAUUAUAGAGAUAGGCAACAGACAGUUCCCAGCUUCAAAGAAUUUAUAAUCCUGUACUUAUGUGAGUCUGGCUGUUCCAUCUCAGAAGAUCUGAGAAGUGAUCAUUU
Molecule: non-coding RNA, 1551 nt
Organism: Sus scrofa (pig)
Lineage: Eukaryota; Metazoa; Chordata; Mammalia; Artiodactyla; Suidae
Source: RefSeq, a predicted model, not a curated record